CCCAAUUAGUCGGGGUGCUGCUUUGGGCGGCUGAGAGGAUACCCGUUGUACCUGAUCCGGUUAGCACCGGCGUAGGGAACUAUCAGGCAGAGGAA
Molecule: non-coding RNA, 95 nt
Organism: Eikenella corrodens ATCC 23834
Lineage: Bacteria; Pseudomonadati; Pseudomonadota; Betaproteobacteria; Neisseriales; Neisseriaceae
Source: Rfam